Molecule: ribosomal RNA, 465 nt
Filed under: uncultured bacterium
Lineage: Bacteria
Description: bacterial SSU rRNA
Rfam family: Bacterial small subunit ribosomal RNA
Source: RNAcentral
AGCCAGACUCCUACGGGAGGCAGCAGUGAGGAAUAUUGGUCAAUGGGCGCGAGCCUGAACCAGCCAAGUCGCGUGAGGGAAGACGGUCCUAUGGAUUGUAAACCUCUUUUGUCGGGGAGCAAAAGACGCCACGCGUGGCGUUCCGAGAGUACCCGAAGAAAAAGCAUCGGCUAACUCCGUGCCAGCAGCCGCGGUAAUACGGAGGAUGCGAGCGUUAUCCGGAUUUAUUGGGUUUAAAGGGUGCGCAGGCGGAAGAUCAAGUCAGCGUUAAAAUUGAGAGGCUCAACCUCUUCGAGCCGUUGAAACUGGUUUUCUUGAGUGAGCGAGAAGUAUGCGGAAUGCGUGGUGUAGCGGUGAAAUGCGUAGAUAUUAGGAGGAACACCAGUGGCGAAGGCGACUUUCUGGACAGUAACUGACGUUGAGGCACGAAAGUGUGGGGAGCAAACAGGAUUAGAUACCCCUGUA